Molecule: ribosomal RNA, 738 nt
Filed under: Anantrum tortum
Lineage: Eukaryota; Metazoa; Platyhelminthes; Cestoda; Bothriocephalidea; Bothriocephalidae
Description: partial 16S ribosomal RNA
Rfam family: Archaeal large subunit ribosomal RNA (bases 304-456)
Source: RNAcentral
AAAAAUUUUCUCGGGUAGAGUUAAUAAACUAAUAAAACGUUGUGAUAAAUUAGUCGUUUUCUUUUAUAUCUGUUUAUUAUCAUAGUUUCCUCUUUAUCUAUAAGGCUGGGAGGUCUUAUAGACGGAUAUAUGCUUUGUUUAGUUUUCAUUCAAACAGGGUUAAAGAUCCCCUCUUUUAGGAGAUUUGUUAUAAUUUGUUUUAUAUUUAUUAAGCAUUAUUUUAAAUGAUAAUUGUAUUUAAUUUUUUGUUUUAUGAAUAAUACAAUAAGUAAUAAUAGAACAUGCAUUGUUUCUAAAUUGUAUUCCGUCUGUUUAUUAAAAACAUUUCUAUAAAUAAAUUUUUAUAGUAGGGCCUGCUCAAUGUUUAAUUAUCAAUGGCCGCAGUAUUUUGACUGUGCGAAGGUAGCAUAAUUAAUUGCCCUUUAAUUGGGGGCUUGUUUGAAUGGUUUGACGAGGUUAUUAUUAACAUUGCAUUUUUAUUUGAAAUUAAUUUUGAGGGCACAGAAUCCUCUGAGUUUAAUUAGACGGAAAGACCCCGGGAUCUUUAGUUUUGCCUGGGGCAGGUUAUAUCAUUUUAUAUUUUUAUAUUGUGAUCUUGUAUUUAGGAUUAAUGGUUUAAGUUACCCCGGGGAUAACAGUGUAAUAAUUUAAUAGAGAUCAUAUCGACUAAAUUGUUUGCCACCUCGAUGUUGACUUAGGUAUAUAGCAGGGCGCAGUUGUUUUGUUAUGUGGUCUGUU